RNAcentral lists this long non-coding RNA (608 nucleotides) under Physcomitrium patens. RNAcentral's name for it is "long non-coding RNA (PPAT_LNC002160)". The record is from RNAcentral. Lineage: Eukaryota; Viridiplantae; Streptophyta; Bryopsida; Funariales; Funariaceae.
GACUUCAGAAACACGCCAACUUCUGUCGGAGUAAGAGGACAAAACCCGUUCCUCCUUUGCUCUGUUCCAUUUAUCUUCUUAACCUUCCAAUGAGGUGUAUUUUCCCUGCAUGUUUUGUCACUGUUGCGUUAGCCUGCAAUAUAAUCUAUUUAGUGUUGUCUGGAAUAUGAUACAAGCACAAUUGCUCCGAAGAGUGCAAUCAACACCAAAUAGACUGACGAGUGAACUUAUCCUUGUUAAAACCACAGAUAUUGCACGAACUGCCAGUAAAUUUGACAAAAGGUGCGCGAAUACACUAAACUGAAGCGACAUACUUUCACCAGCUGCAUAGAGGGAUAGUACCUUAUAGUGGUAAGCUCUUGGGCUUCUUCUGUGGAUAAUUGAUACGUGCAGCCGCUAAAGGCCAGCAUGUCUUUUUCAUACCGCAGAUGUAAUGCGAUGUAAGGUCCUGCCGAUCUCAGUCUUUCCACUAUCACCUGCUCACACAAUGAGCGAGACGAAACCCUAAAUGACCAAUGGGAAUUAUGCCGAACCUCCAGAGUGGUAUGUUUUUCCCAUUCAUUUCAAGUACAUUACAUGUUCUUGUAUAAGACCAACUAGUGAAUGAA